Long non-coding RNA from Bufo bufo (common toad), 154 nucleotides. RefSeq lists it as uncharacterized. Lineage: Eukaryota; Metazoa; Chordata; Amphibia; Anura; Bufonidae. The record is from RefSeq and is a predicted model, not a curated record. The transcript has 3 exons.
GGCCCUUUAAAGAGGCUGUUCUAUCUAGACCAGGGGUGGUCAACCUGCUGCUCUCCAGCUGUUGCAAAACUACAACUCUCAGCAUGCCCAGUCUGCCUACAGCUAUCAGCCUACAGCAGGGCAUGGUGGGAGUUGUAGUUUUACAACAGCUGGA